RNAcentral lists this ribosomal RNA (440 nucleotides) under uncultured bacterium. RNAcentral's name for it is "partial 16S ribosomal RNA". It matches the Rfam family "Bacterial small subunit ribosomal RNA", at positions 338 to 795 of the family's 1533-position model. The record is from RNAcentral.
CCUACGGGAGGCAGCAGUGGGGGAUAUUGCACAAUGGGGGGAACCCUGAUGCAGCGACGCCGCGUGGGUGAAGAAGCGCCUCGGCGCGUAAAGCCCUGUCAGCAGGGAAGAAAAUGACGGUACCUGAAGAAGAAGCCCCGGCUAACUACGUGCCAGCAGCCGCGGGAAUACGUAGGGGGCAAGCGUUAUCCGGAUUUACUGGGUGUAAGGGGGGCGCAGACGGCGAUGCAAGCCAGGAGUGAAAGCCGGGGGCCAAACCCCGGGAGGGCUGUUGGAACUGCGUGGCUGGAGUGCAGGAGGGGCAGGCGGAAUUCGUGGUGUAGGGGUGAAAGGAGUAGAUAUCAGGAGGAACUCCGGUGGCGAAGGCGGCAUGCCGGACGGCAACUGACUUUGAGGCCCGAAAGCGUGGGGAGCAAACAGGAUUAGAUACCCUUGUAGUC